UCGUUACGUAAGGUUUCCUAGAGUGUUUCGCCGCUGGCUUCUUCCCACUUCUUUUCAGGCAUCAAGUUGCUUUUCCUGGGGAGCUUAAGUGCGCUAGUCAAUACACUUUUUUGAGGAAAGAUCGUAUUUUUUUUCCCCCAGGCUAGGUAAAUACCGAAGUUGUUAAUCUUCUGGCUGUUUGAAAGUGGUUGAACUAAUAUUAGCUAUGACUAAUAUUAGUAUGACUAAAGCAAACUGAAUUUCAGAUAUUCCUCCAAAGCAGCUGACUGCUAUGCAGUUCGCUGGUUGGGGAUCUGCUGAGUAACACCUGAAAAUCUGGGUCAUGUUUACCCUGAGUGAAUGUGUUCACAGGCCUACUGCACUUAAAAGAUUUUUGUUUAGCCAAGCCACCAGAACACAUUUAUUUGAUGAUGGCAGGAAGAAUGUAAUUAUUCUCUAGGUUGUUCCUGGAACUGCAGGGUUUAAAAUUGAGUUACUUUAUUGAUAAGCAACCCCAGAAUUUUUAUAGCAUGCCCUGACCACAGGGAAAAUUAAGGUGUUUUUUUUGCCCCUGACACUUACCACUGAAGAUGUUUGUCAGCAACUGAUUAAAGUGAAACGAUUUUAAACCUCGUGGAAAUGCAAAUUACUUUCUUACACGGGAUGAAAUCAAGAGAUAAUGCUGGAGCACUAAAGCAGCGUAGGGCAUGAAUCUGGAAACUUUAUCAAGGACUUGGAAUUGCUGCCUGGAGACAAGAAUUCACCUAGAGAAGAAUCAGAGUUGUUUCCCAAGGACUUCUUGGAUGUCGUUUUGCAGCAGCAUGUUCCAGAGUCUGCGCUACUUCCUUCUGAAGAAAAUGCUGUGA
RNAcentral lists this long non-coding RNA (845 nucleotides) under Struthio camelus australis. Its description in RNAcentral is "lncRNA (ENSSCUG00000000446.1)". Lineage: Eukaryota; Metazoa; Chordata; Aves; Struthioniformes; Struthionidae. The record is from RNAcentral.